AAGUCGUAACAAGGUUUCCGUAGGUGAACCUGCGGAAGGAUCAUUAUCGAGAGCGGGGCUUCGCGCUCCCGGGGGCCUCGGCCCCCAACUCUUCACCCUUUGUCUACCUACCAUUGUUGCUUUGGCGGGCCCCGGGGGUCUCUCCUCCGCGCUGGCUUUCGGGUCGGUGAGCGUCCGCCAGAGGCCCAUUAUACUCUAUUUUUCCAGUGUCGUCAGAGCACACAAAGAAUUAAAUAAAACUUUCAACAACGGAUCUCUUGGUUCCA
Molecule: unclassified non-coding RNA, 266 nt
Filed under: Hypotrachyna britannica
Lineage: Eukaryota; Fungi; Ascomycota; Lecanoromycetes; Lecanorales; Parmeliaceae
Description: partial internal transcribed spacer region
Rfam family: Eukaryotic small subunit ribosomal RNA (bases 1-46)
Source: RNAcentral